This 86-nucleotide microRNA precursor is filed under the name Solanum lycopersicum (tomato). RNAcentral describes it as "MIR8024 microRNA precursor family". It matches the Rfam family "MIR8024 microRNA precursor family". The record is from Rfam by way of RNAcentral. Lineage: Eukaryota; Viridiplantae; Streptophyta; Magnoliopsida; Solanales; Solanaceae.
UUGAAGAAUUUAGAGAUUUCAGCUUGUAAACUUGAAAAAUUUGAAGACUUCAGCUUGCAUACUUGAAUAGUUUAAAGACUUCAACU